This 312-nucleotide ribosomal RNA is filed under the name Triticum aestivum (bread wheat). RNAcentral describes it as "partial small subunit ribosomal RNA". The record is from RNAcentral. Lineage: Eukaryota; Viridiplantae; Streptophyta; Magnoliopsida; Poales; Poaceae.
AUGCAGUUUGUAACGGGUAUAGACAAUAAUUGGGUUUCAUUCAUCUCAAGGAUUAAGGUGUUCAGUGGAGAGAUGGAGAUGUGUUCAGAAUUAUUUGGUUCAUUAGUUGGACAGUUAGAAUGGGUUUUCAAUUUCAUUCAUUCAGAGACUGGUUGUGGUUGCGCUCCAUUUCGUGCUGAGCACAUCACAUCACAUUUCACAUGUGCAGCCUUGAAUGUUUCAUUCAUCAUCUCUUAUGUACAGCAAGGUAUCUUGCCAAGCCCAACCAACAGAUCAAACACACGCACACGGCACAAGGAUAACAGCCGCUGA